CGGACGGGUGAGUAAUGCCUAGGAAUCUGCCUGGUAGUGGGGGACAACGUUUCGAAAGGAACGCUAAUACCGCAUACGUCCUACGGGAGAAAGCAGGGGACCUUCGGGCCUUGCGCUAUCAGAUGAGCCUAGGUCGGAUUGCUAGUUGGUGAGGUAAUGGCUCACCAAGGCGACGAUCCGUAACUGGUCUGAGAGGAUGAUCAGUCACACUGGAACUGAGACACGGUCCAGACUCCUACGGGAGGCAGCAGA
Molecule: ribosomal RNA, 252 nt
Filed under: uncultured Pseudomonas sp.
Lineage: Bacteria; Pseudomonadati; Pseudomonadota; Gammaproteobacteria; Pseudomonadales; Pseudomonadaceae
Description: partial 16S ribosomal RNA
Rfam family: Bacterial small subunit ribosomal RNA
Source: RNAcentral